UGAGGAAUAUUGGACAAUGGAUGGAAAUCUGAUCCAGCCAUGCCGCGUGCAGGAAGACGGCCCUAUGGGUUGUAAACUGCUUUUAUACGGGAGCAAUAAGGUCUAUGCAUAGAUUGAUGAGAGUACCGUAUGAAUAAGCAUCGGCUAACUCCGUGCCAGCAGCCGCGGUAAUACGGAGGAUGCGAGCGUUAUCCGGAUUUAUUGGGUUUAAAGGGUGCGUAGGCGGCUUUGUAAGUCAGCGGUGAAAUUUUGCAGCUUAACUGUAAAAGCGCCGUUGAUACUGUGAAGCUAGGAUUUGGUCGCUGUGGGCGGAAUGUGUGGUGUAGCGGUGAAAUGCAUAGAGAUCACACAGAAUAUCGAUUGCGAAGGCAGCUCACAAAGCCAAUAUUGACGCUGAGGCACGAAAGUGUGGGGAUCAAACA
RNAcentral lists this ribosomal RNA (422 nucleotides) under uncultured prokaryote. RNAcentral describes it as "bacterial SSU rRNA". It matches the Rfam family "Bacterial small subunit ribosomal RNA", at positions 355 to 774 of the family's 1533-position model. The record is from RNAcentral.